Liolophura sinensis is the source of this 490-nucleotide long non-coding RNA. RefSeq lists it as uncharacterized. The transcript is spliced from 3 exons. Lineage: Eukaryota; Metazoa; Mollusca; Polyplacophora; Chitonida; Chitonidae. The record is from RefSeq and is a predicted model, not a curated record.
UCACGGUUGCGUUUGAUGAGCUGUCCAAUGCUCCCGGCAUUAUAACAGUUCAGGUGGCUGAUCCUAUCCAAACCAAAUGCCUGAUGAUUUCCCCGACCGUAAAUGAUCACCCUGACGAGCCGAUGGCUGUCCAGAUGGACCUUCUUGGUUGUGGAAUUUUUGAAUGCAGCAAAUAUCUCCAAACCAAUAUAGUUACCGAAAAUGAUGGUCUGGCUGUGAAUUUUAAAUCUGAAAAGCUGGUCACAGAAAUAACGUUUUACGUUCAGGGAGGCCAUUUUGAACAAGGCGCUAAUGACAGCAUACACGUGACCUACAGCCGAACGUGUCGAACAUUCCACAGCAUCGAUGUCAAACAGAUUUCCAUUCACGAUAACCCGGAUAGUCAAAAACUUUCAUUGGUAUUUCCUCGCCCAAUAAGAUUACAGUGUUUAUCAUUAAACUCCAGUGAAAUUAUUUCACCGGCUAAAUUAUCAGGAACUGCAUCUGCCUU